Molecule: non-coding RNA, 3804 nt
Organism: Manis javanica (Malayan pangolin)
Lineage: Eukaryota; Metazoa; Chordata; Mammalia; Pholidota; Manidae
Source: RefSeq, a predicted model, not a curated record
GCGGGGAUGUCCGACCACAGAAAUUGGUCAGAAGCAGAAUCUGGGGUUUAAUUCUAUAGGAAUGAGAGUGACAGGUGUGGUUUUCAGACAAGUGAGUAACAGGACUGUCCUUACUUUUGCUGACAGAUAAUUACAUAGGUAACGUGAAGAGCAUACUGGACAGGGGCAUCCAAUGGCCCAGAGCAAGAUCUCAACGUGGGUGAUGGAUUCCCAAGCGGGCGUCCGGGGCACAGGCAGGGGAGCUCCCUGUCCCCAGCUCCUCUGCUCUGGAGCCGACACCCCCCUUCACUGUACUGCUCCCAUUUGCUCUGAAACUCUCUCUGUGCCUUGCCUGGAACAACCAGAACAUGUUGGUCCACAGAAAAGAGACUCCAGUGCUGCUCAAGAAUGAUAGACAUGAAAUGACUACCUUCUAGUUUCGAUGAGGACAGUAUUUUUCCUUCUGUGUAUUCCCAGAACAGAGCACAGUACCUGAUAUGAAGAAGGAGGUCCGGAAACCUUGGCUGAGCCAGACUGACUCCCAGAGCCAUUUGUAGGGUGUAUUGGUUGCCUGUGGCUGCUGUAGCAGGUUGCCACACACUGGGUAAAACAACAGAAAUCUCAUCUCUCCCAGGUCUGGAGGCUGGAAGUCUGAGAUCAAGGUGUCAGCAGGGCCAGGCUCCCCCGAAGGCUCUAGGGGAGGGUCCUUCCUCGCCUCUUCCAGCUACUGCUAGUUGCCAGCAGUCCAGUGUGCCUGGGCUUACAGAUGCAUCAUUCCAGCCUCUGCCCCAGGGCUGUGUGGCCUUCCCCGGGUCUAACUUGCCCUCUUCUUGUAAGGAUGUGAGUCAUUGCAGCAGGGUGCACGCUAGCCCAGCAAGACCUCCUCUAGGCUUGAUUACAUCGGCAAACACUUUAUUCCAAAUGAGGGCACAGCAUAGGCACCUGGGCACUGGGACUUGGACUGUCUUUUUUGGGGAACAAUUCAGUCCAUAUAACAACAAAGGAUGUGGCGUGUGCCAUUCUUCUGUCUCCAGCAAAGUGCACCGUCUCUGGAGGGACUCAUUCCACGUUGGACAGGCUGUGCCCAAGGCAGCUGCAGAACUUCAGGCAACUGCAUGAUAUAGUCAGCACGUGCUUGCCCCCCACCCAGGACCUGGAUAUGCAGAGGCGAAGGGGCACGCCUGGACUCCGCACUGAGUAAAUAAAACUGACUGUGUUUUAAACUUGCCAAGAGUCUAACAAACUCUGUUGGCACUUACACGCCUAGAAAGCUUUUUAGGAAGAAAGAAAAUUAAUCAUACUUUUGCCAGCAGUUAAACGAAGACUCGUGAUUGGGAGAACAUUUUUUCCUAGAAUUAUGCCUUAUCUACAAGGGCUUCUGGCAAACUGUGAAGCGCACUUCGGAGUGCCCGGAAUCUGAGCCCAGCCGGGAGCCCAGGGCGGGAGCAGGUUGGUGGUCUGACAGGAGGGCACAGCGCGGAGCGCCUUCCCAGGGACCAGAGGACAGACAGCCCUGUGUGGUCUCACUGCGGGCCAGGCCGUUCCGCACCCUGGGCAUCACCUGGGUGCCCCUUGUCCCGGCCCAGGGAGGAUGCCAGGCGCCACAGAGAACCGCCCCAGCAGGCCUUCGACUUUGGGGGAAUUAGCUCCAGAACUGCCACACCUUAGUCUUCGUGCCUUCUGGCCAUUUGCUUCCCUCCAUGUCGCUGCAGAGCACUUACAGGGACAGGCCCUCGGUGGGCACCUCGCUGUAGUCCAGAGGUGCAGCAUCAUAAACCGCACGUCCGCGGAACUACCAGCUUUGCCGUAACAGAGUUUUGGGAAAACCAGAUAUCCACAUGCAAAAGAAUGAAGUAUCACUUCCUCACAGCCUACCCAGAAGCUUCCCUGGAAUGGAUCAGAGGCCUAAAAUUUAUAAGCCUUCAGUGGAAUACAUUUAGCCCAUGAAAUGAAAUAUAUUAUCAGUUGGGUGAUAAGAAAAAGCAGCAAGCCAAAAAUGACAAGUUCAUUUAAUUUGAGGAACUACAAAAAGACCAUCAGAGGGGGGUUCUCCCUUCAUGGGCGAGGAAUGUGGGCUCUACUGAAUUCAUUGAACACUGUCCUUGGAGAAGGAAGGAGACUUUGAGCAAUAGAUGCCUGUUCUAGCAACCACUACCGGUGUUGCUUUCAGCCAGGUAACACUCAUUUACCUUCCUUCCAACUGAUCUGGUGGUUUGCUGGCUCUUUUAAAUCACAUUACAUAAAUCCUUAGAAAUCUUUUGUGAAGGUAAAUUUCGUUUUUUUGAGCACUGAUCCUUUGCUCUCCUGAUUCCAGGCACAGAGGCGGCUCCCGGCCUUCCUGAAUCAGGGUGAGCACUGACAAUCAUCUUUAAGGUAAACUCUGUGCAAGAGCUUUGUCAUCCUGACGAGGCCUGCUGGGCUGUCUUCCUGAUAAAGUCUCCUUUGCAGAUGCACCUCCUUUAGCGCAAACUCACUGUUAAUGAGUGAUACGUGUUUGUAACUCGAUCAUUUAGACAUGCCGUUAUCCCUUGUUUUACAAGAUUUCCUACAGCAAGCUCAGAUGACUAAACUCAAAACAUGUCAACUCAAGCUCAGUGUCUCUUCCUGGGAGUUUCUAAAGAACUUAGGUCUCGGAGACAGCACGCUGACCAAACUCUUUCCUAAUCAAACAGCUAAUUGGUUAGUGACUGGGAUUCAGCUCCAUCGUGUUGUCUCCAUCCUCCACCCCCCACCAUUUCCCUUGGACUUCUGGGUCACUCGAGGAUUCACUUUAUUGUUGUUCUUGCUAGGCGAGCAUUGCUCCAGGACUACUAGUGCAUAAAACCCAUGCUUAGUGCAUCCCCGUCCCAAGCAGAGGACUGAGAUUUCUGCAAAGAUGUCCAUGCUCUCAUCAGCAGGACAGCCCUUCCCCGGCCUGUAGUGAUAUGUCUGAUGUUGCUCUAGACUACACUCUGUAUGGGGCCCCAACGGGUAACAGCCUCUGAGGAAGCCUUUACUCAGGCAGCUGGGCAGGCAGGCCCUCCAUCCACAACCUGCCGGGCCCGCUAUGUGCAAGCUACUUAUCUUCUGUAUGUAUGGCAAGCUGCUCCACUCCUCCAGGCAAGGGAGAAAUGUCUGUGCACUCAAGUCUUUGGGAGGGAGCCCUUGUCUUUUACCUAGCUCUUCGAGUUCUCCAGUCAUUACUGAUUUUGAGUGACUGCUGAGCCCCUUUCUGGGACAUUGUAUGAGAUGAAAAACCCCAUGAGCUGGGUCAGUAACAGGUGGCAGCUAUUGCUUUCAUGUGGACCUCUUUCCAAGAUGGAUAGAGCCAUACAGGAUUGUAGCUAUAACUCCAAGGAGGGCUCCUUGGUGUGGGGACGGCACAGACAAGGGCCUGUUCUGUGCAAGGUGGGACAGAGAGGGGUCCAGGAUUCCACACAAGAGCCACUCAAAGUCUGUUUGCUCCAGGGGCAGGCCCUGCUCGGACGGUUCAUCCGAGUAAUUAAAGAAAGGAGAAAAUGACACACAGUUGAACAAAUGAAAAGCUAGGAUUUUCCCUACCUCCAGCAAAAAUAGUUGGUUUGUUUUUUCAAGAAGUAAGGACUUUUAUAUACAGAAUCAUCCAAGAAUAAUGUAUUUACAAUUUUUGUGGCCUUGAUUGUGUUAAUGAAGCUAUUAUUCACAUGGGCAAUGAAAGCCAUUCCGCCACGGAGGCACACUUGGCUGAGUGUUGGGGGGCAACAGUAGGAGCAGCUAUGCAAACAGUAAGAGGAGGGUCACGGCCAGCGCACAGCUGCUCGGUAGGGCAGAUGGAACCGGGCCGGCCCGGCCCUCCAGCAUGCACAC